This 1231-nucleotide long non-coding RNA is filed under the name Bemisia tabaci. RNAcentral's name for it is "lncRNA ENSSSA1UGG001176". The record is from RNAcentral. Lineage: Eukaryota; Metazoa; Arthropoda; Insecta; Hemiptera; Aleyrodidae.
GUAAGAGAUUAUUUCUCCUUACUUUGACGUGAGCAACGAUCCCAAGGAGAAGCACUCAGGUUUUUUUUUAUUUUUUCAAUUUUGAAGGAACUUCGGACAUAAACCAGGUAUUUGUGCCCUGCUACAACGCCUCAAUUUGACGAGACUGCAUGAAUGUUUGGUCGAACUGGACACAAGAAAUGAGAUCUCGUUUUGGCGGGAGGGAGUCGCACUACACCCCUGAAGAGGAGCCCAAGUCAUGUUGCGGUGUUUCUCUGUCGCAAACGCUCGCCAUCCGGUGGUUUAUUCUGGUCGUGUUUUUCCUAGGAUUAUGCUGUGCCGUAGUUGGCUCAGUUUUGGGCGUUAUGAGGAUAUCCGGCAGGGAGCAUCUCACAGUCUCAAUCUUAAUGAUAGGAGUAGGGAUAGUGCUGGUGGCGGUGAGUGGUGUUGCAUGGCGGAUGACGUCACGAGAUGCCCCGUCGUGCCGGGUCAUGCUGGGUCUGGGCGCUGGCGAGGAGGGCAUCGGCGAACCCAACAGGAGGUUCGUCCCGCGGCUCCCCCAACCUACGGUAGACCCCACCACCCUUAUGCUGCCAUGAUGUACCCUGAGUUCCAGUAUAGAGCACCGCCACCUUCUUACCAAGCUUCUAUGCAAGAGUACAGGCUUAGACUUCUAUUACUAGAUCGAAAUAAUGGACCUCUAAAUACUGUCUCUCCUCCGCCGACGUACCGGUCCCAUCCAGGCACCAUUUUAAGGCCACCAAUCAAUUGUAGAAGAGAUCCCAUCUGCCAUCCUCCCAACCUAGACUACAGCCGGCCUCCGAGUUAUCGAUCGAGGACCAGUUCAACACGGCCAUCAUGCAACCUGGAUCCAACCGGUGAUAUUGGAGGUUCCAUCAGCACCACGCAUAGUCGCAAUCCCUCACAAUUGAGUAUAUCGGAUGCCGGUGGCAACACAGUUAAUGUUAUAACUGUGAUUGGAACGCGAAGUGCAAGUGAUACAGAUAGUGAAAAUAUUAUCAAAAUGGUGCCAGACGAAUCUGCUUUGUCUGGACCGCUUAGUAUAGUUUCUAGUAAAAAAGAAUCCGAUGCGGACAUAGUCAAAGACGCACCUUCAAAUAUUGUCACAAUUGUUCAGAGUGCACCGGAAACUAACGGCUCUGUCAUUGUGACGGUAACUGGCACAACAACCGAUACUACCACUUCAAGCCAUACUUGUGAUACUGAAAUGCAGAUUUUAGCUCAUUUAUGA